GAUGAACGCUGGCGGCGUGCCUAAUACAUGCAAGUCGAGCGAACAGACGAGGAGCUUGCUCCUCUCACGUUAGCGGCGGACGGGUGAGUAACACGUGUAUAACCUACCUAUCAGACUGGUAUAACUUCGGGAAACGGGAGCUAAUACCGUAUAAGAUAUUGAACCGCAUGGUUGAAUGGUGAAAGUCGGUGUUUCUGGCACUUAUAGAUGGAUCCGCGCCGCAUUAGCUAGUUGGUAAGGUAACGGCUUAUCAAGGCGACGAUGCGUAGGCGAGCUGAGAGACUGAUAGGCCACCCUGGAACUGGGACACGGUCCAGACUCCUACGGGAGGCAGCAGUAGGGAAUGGUCGGCAAUGGGCGAAAACUUGACGGAGCAACGCCGCGUGAGUGAUGAAGGUCUUCGGAGCGUAAAGCUCGGUUAUGAGGGAAGAACAAAUGUGUAAGUAACUAUGCACGUCUUGACGGUACCUAAUAAGAAAGCCACGGCUAACUACGUG
Molecule: ribosomal RNA, 497 nt
Filed under: uncultured bacterium
Lineage: Bacteria
Description: partial 16S ribosomal RNA
Rfam family: Bacterial small subunit ribosomal RNA
Source: RNAcentral